Long non-coding RNA from Nicotiana attenuata, 708 nucleotides. RefSeq lists it as uncharacterized. The transcript has 2 exons. Lineage: Eukaryota; Viridiplantae; Streptophyta; Magnoliopsida; Solanales; Solanaceae. The record is from RefSeq and is a predicted model, not a curated record.
UUCCCUAUCAUCUUGCACUCUCACACUCUAUAAAAAGUACCCAACACUCCUCACACACACACAUUAAUAUCUGUAUAUUCACUCACAAAAAAGACACGGGAAUUUCACCCUAAUUUUUGCUAAAAAACACACUCCAGUUUUUCUCUAAAAUCUGAUACAUUAACUCAACUCUCAACUCUCACGGAGUUUUGGGAAAGAAGACAAAUUUGUUGGGAUUUCAUUGGUACCUUAAGCUGUUAAAGUUGCAGUUCGCUGGUUCUAUUUGUUCCUGGAUCUGUUUGAGCUUCUUUCUCCAUUUCUAUUGCCUUUAUUUGGCUGUUUCAAGCUUGUUUCCAGCUUUAGGAGUUUAAUAAUUUGGCAAUUGUGACCACCAGGUUGUCACAAUUGUGAAUUGAAGAAUACAAACCCAUGCCAAGCAAUUCAAAUGUCUUAAUGAUCGUUUUUUCUCAUUCCCUAUUUUCUUCUGAACGAAUGUUUGAUGGUCAUUUGAUAGCUAGUCCACUGUUGAUCAAAAAAUAAAAGAUUUAGAGGUCUAUAGUAGCAGAUUUGGCCACAUGUUGGCCUGAUUUGCAGUUGACAACCUAGGUGAAGUUCCACUUUUGGUUUGUAGCUGUUAAGCACACAUUGGAAUUAGCAUUGUGUAAAAUUCAUUUUUAAGUUCUCAUCCAUGUAAUUAAUUGGAUCAUUUAGUUAGGUUGUUUUUUACUA